CUCAGUCCAACACCUCGGGGUCAAGUGCUUAAUAUAGGGCUCCUCUUUCCGUUGGGUGGCAAGUUUAGCGAAACUGACCACCUGUUCCCUUGCAAAUCUGCCUGUCUCCAGCCCAAAUCAGAAGGCGAGCCUGGCACGGCCCCUCGGAGGAGGUGCUGCGGCGAUUGGAUUUCACCUCCCACCAGUGCCUGUGAAAUCCAGAUAGAUGUGUUCUGGGACCCUCUCCUCUCCUGAGAAGACUGCAGAUCAAGCUGCUAAACAAGCGGAAGUGAUUCUUGUUGUUUUAAACAUCCUUAGUUGUGUGUGUAUUCUGGAGACUAUUUUUAUAAGUUUAAAGCUCUGCUUUCCUUGCACAUCCGCAGGGCCUCUACUAAAGAAAUGGAAGACAGGAGCGUCUGAGCCUUGCACUCAGGCUCCUGCGGCUCCAUCCAACGCCCCAGGAGGACUCCCUGCUCUGUCUUUGUGAACUGAUCCAAGUCUGAUUACUCGGGAUCUCUCACCCAGUCUGUGGCCGGGGAGAUCUAAAGUACACUCAAGUUGUUUAUUAAACGUCUGCAGCAGUUUUGUGGAUGCAGUUUUUAGAAAGGCUGCACCUCUAAAAUUCCACACACACCUAAUGUAACAUGACGUUUGCAACCUGUGAAUACAGCCUGCCCGUCAAUUUCAAACUCCAGGCAUGUCCACUAGGUUUCUGUUCUGGGCUUUUCCAAACAAUGGCUUAAUCGGAGUCAGCAAUUUGAGGGAGAAAGCCCAUGAAAAUAAGCAAUUCAUGAAAAACCAGUUCCACUCACCGUGCUUAGACACACCCCUUAGACACAGGUCACUCCUGUGGUUUGCCAGUGAGGGCUGGAACCUCACCUCUUCCUUAGACACCUCUGUCCUCUACCUUAGAGAAGUUCCUCUCUCCCUCAACUAUGAUUCUCACCACUCUGUGAAAUGACAGAAUUGAUCAAAUGUCUGUUGUGCAUUGUCUGACACUGCGGCUCAUCAGGAAUUUAUGAGUCAUUUUGACAAGAGGAUAGUGAACCAGUUUAUGACUGGGGCUCACUGCCCGAAUAUCUCCUAAGGGCUGGAUGUCCACACGCCUUCUUCCUCCCACACACGGAGGUUAUUUGCCAUGCGGAUGCCCAGAGACUCAAGAUGGAAAUUCACUUGGCAGACCAUUUGACCGUCGUGGGAACCGGCUUGCACUGCUCAUCCUUUAGGGGAACUUGCUGGGAACAUCCCACAUUGUUUGGAAGACUUGGUAAUCUGUUUCUGUCCACCCUUUCUCCACUCACAGUCUUCCAAUACAAUAAAAUCACUACCCCAAUGGCUCUUGAUUCCUUAACUAGUUACAUUGUGGAGAGAUUUCUAGUAACGUCCAGGAUAAAAAAAAAUGUCUGAAACUGCCAAGAACAAAGCCGAGCCCCAGAAGAGUUUGUCCAAUACUUUCUGAGGCCCUGACCAUGCGGAACUGGGUGGGGGCACUGCCCUCUGAAGUCGCAGUCACAGAAUCCAGGAAGCGGAUGCGAACCUCUCCCUACGUGGUGAGAAUGCUUUACCUUCCCGUAGCUUUAAGUAUCACCGGCAUUCUGCUGGAGCAAUUCUGUCUCUAGCUGAAAUCUAUUGUUGGUGGGAACCAUGCCACAGAGCGUGAUGAUCUGAGCGGCCUGAUGCGUGACUGUGAACUCACUUACUACGUCUUUCCAUGUUGAUAGAGAAAGGAGGUCGUUCAUUCACUUCAGAAGUAGUGAGUGAGCAUGCCUGCCGUCCCGUCACCUAAUGUGUUUUCCACUCCUCCCAGCUGGGCUUUAGAUGCCGGUGUGAUGCAUGUGCUGUUUGCUUACAGAAUUCUGCUUGUAGCAUCCGUUUAGUCAAUAAGUAGAUAUUAAUCACUUAGGCUGUGGGACCAGCUCUGGAAACACAGUGAAGGAAGAGAGAUGCUGUCCUGGCCACCAAGGAGCUAACACUCUGGUGUAGAAAAUGUCACUAAGCAAAUACCGACAUUGGCAAAUCUCUGCAUACGGUCGAUACGGCUGCGUGCAGUGCGUUGCUAUUGGAAGGGAAGGCAGGAAGACUUGAGCCCAGCCUGGAGAGACAGGAACGUCCUCUCUGAGAAAAGGUCGCUUACACUGAAACUCAAAAGGUGAGUCCAGCUUCUCCAGGCAAAGAGAAGUAAGCAGAGCAGCCCACACGAAGAAUACCCAAUGGCAAAACAAACACAGCACAAAUGGAACCUCCCCGAGAAUCAACCCGGAGCCAGAGACAACCCAGAGCGUGCUGUCAUUGAGGGACCCACAAAGAUCCAUGUGGCCAGAACUGGCCAGAAAAUGGGACCGGGGUCCCUAUCCCCCAGGCCUGACUGGUACAGGUCCGUGGCUUGUUAGGAACCAGGCCACAUAGCAGAAGGUGAGUAGUUGACAAGCGGGAGCGACCUCUCCAGCCUGAGCUCCGUCCACCUCCUGUCAGAUCAGCAGCAGCGUUAGAUUCUCAUAGGAGCGUGAGCUCUAUGGUGAACUGCACAUGUGAGGAAUCUGGGUUGCACACUCCCUGUGAGAAUCUGAUGCCUGAUGAUCUGAGGUGGAACAGCUUUGUCACCAAGCCAUUUCCCCUCCCUUCACUCCCCCCUCUUCCAUGGAAACACUCUCUUCCAUGAAACUGGUCCCUGGUGUCAAAAAGGUUGGGGACAGUCUUUUUAGACUUCACAGCAACUGACUCUGAUAUGGGGAAGAGCCGAGUGGGACCAGCAGCAAAGAGGCUCCAGAGGCUCUCCAGGAAACAGCAGGAUGUCCCUAGCACUUAGGCCGUGGGGGGAAGCAGCCCCACGUGAGAUCAAGGUCGGGGGGAAGCAGCCCCACGUGAGGUCUGGGUGGGGGUAAGCAGCCCCACGUGAAAUCUGGGUGGGGGGGAAGCAGCCCCACGUGAGAUCUGGGUGGGGGGAAAGCAGCCCCACGUGAAAUCUGGGUGGGGGGAAGCAGCCCCAUGUGAGGUCUAGGUGAGGGGGGGAAGCAGCCCCACGUGAGAUCUAGGAGCAGGGGAAGCAGCCCCAUGUGAGGUUUGGGUGAGGAGGGGAAGCAGCCCCACGUGAGAUCUGGGUGGUGGUCCAUCAGCUGGGUGGGGACUGCCUCAGUACAGGGGUGAUCAGAAAUGAGAGAUGGGAGAUGCUCAUUGGAAACCUGAAUAGGUAGAUGGAAAUGCUUCAUUUCUAUUCAGAUUAUUUCUCCAAGUUUAUCUCUAUCCCAGACUUACCUUCGGAGUUUCAGACUAAUAUAUCCACUCUCUGGUAGAAACGUUUAUUUUGAUAUUCCCCAGGAAACUCAGGGAACAUGUCCACAACUCAAAUCAUUGCCCCUGAACCAUCCAUUAAAACAUUUCCUGCAACAUUUUUCCUUCACCUGGCAAAUGCUCAUCAGCUGAAACAGUCCAUUUUCUGCGUCAUUUUUCAGUGCUGCCGGCUGCCCCGAUACUGGUCAGAUGUUAUUCUGAAUGUGUCGAUGAGGGUGUUCUGGGACCGGACGGAGGUAUAAGUCGGCGAAUGGAGUCAAGCAGAUGCCCUCUCCAGUGUGGGUGGGCCUCACCCAAUCAGUCAAAGCCCAGAACAGAACAGAAAAGCCAAGAGGGACCCUUUCCUGCCGGGCUGCCUUGAGCUGGGUCAGCAGUCUUUUUCUGCCUUUGGACUCAACUGGAAACACCAGCUCUUCCUGGGUUUUGAGCCUUCCAGCUUUCAAACUAUACCAGAGCUCUCCUGGUUUUCAGGCUUUUGGACUCAGACUAGAACUUCCACCGUGGGCCCUCCUGGGACUUCAGCCUGCCAACCGCACAGAUCUUUGGACUUGUCUGCCUCCAGAGUUGUAUGAACCAAUUCCUUAUAGAAUCUCUGUGUGUUUGUGUGAUGUAUGUGUGUACGCAUACGUGUGUGUAUGGAUACAUAUACAGAGAUGCACAUCUUAUUGGUUUUGUUUCUCUGGCGAACCCUGACUAACACACCAGCUAAAGAGGAAAUAAUAUUGUCUAGGGAGAAGGAAGAGUUAAUAAAAAAGACUCAUAUAAGCUAUCAGGUAUCUCCACAUUGGAAAUAAACCACAGUGCAACCCAGGAAAUAGAAAUGAGAGAAGAAGUUGACCACAGAUCGAGUAGGCUGGAACUAUGGCAGAACUCCCCGGGGCACACGGCCACCCGGCUGGGGACGGAGACCACAUUUCCCAGCUCCCAUGCUGCCAAGAGCAGCCAUGGGCUAUGUUCAGAUCAAUGGUGUAUGAGGAAAUUGACAAGCUCCCAGGGAAUCUCCAUAAAGAUGAAGCCACCAUCCUAGACUUCUUCCUUUUCUGUUUUCUGAAGGCUGAAAACCCACUUUGAAAGUGACCCAGUUUUAACUCUGCAAACAAGAACCACACCCUAAAAGACAGUGGAGGAAGAAGAUGAGGGAACCCCAGUCGCUGGAUGGCCUGGUAGAGCAGAGACUCCAUGCCAGCCUGGACUGUCCAGCUCUGGGCCAGAUUCUGGGAGGGAGGCUAAUAUCUCUCCUGUUUAAGUCCCAAUAUUCUGAAGUGUCUUUGCUCCAGCGUUUGGCUUGUACUGAACUGAAACAGAUACGGAAACACACAAACAGCAACACAGGCAGAUGGCCGCUCCCUCAGCUACAACAGAAGUCUGCCCGCUCUGCUGUCUCCUGUUGCCCCAGAGAACGGGCCAGGAGCUGGCACGAGGAGGACUCAGCAACUAUGUGUGGAAUGAAUGGAUAGUGGAAGAAAUGCAGACUGGCACUGGAAGGACAGUGAGGACAUGGGAAGAGAGUCUGUGGUUACAUCUCUUUACAAGAACCUGCUGUACAGAGAAGGGAGUAACUAAGGAACUAGGGUCUGGGUGCCGUGCAAUGCGCAUGUGUGUACAUGGGUGACGUAGGAAAUGCUGGGGCAUAUUUCCACAAAAAUAAAAAGAAUCCAACCAGAGAGAGGAGUGCGACACAAAACAGAGUGUUGUAAAUGUCCUGAGUUGUGUAGCAGGUGAGGCACUUUGUCACAUCACCGGAAGGGAAGAAGAAGAGGAUGGGUGGCUGUACGGAAAACCUGUUGGGUCACAGGUAGGAAUUUUAGGAUGUAUCUAAGUGAUGACUCUUAAAAAAAUUCUGUCUAGUGGGAAGCAAGGUCAAUUCCUGGAGAGAAUGCUGGCCAGUGGAAGUCAGGCUGAGGUCAACGGAGAAGGUUGAAAACAGUCAUCGUGGAGAGAGUCAAGUGAGUAUAGGGCUAUGGUCAGAAUAAAGAGAACUUCUCAGAGGCUGAUGACGUUGGGCAUCAUGCGUUUUUAUAGUAUUAAUCUUCCCAGUGUGUGUCUUUCUCAGGAAUUGUCAGGGUCUAGACAGACACGAAGAACAGGAAAUGCUCGGCUUCUUCUGGGGCUGUGAUUUUCCCCGAUGAUAAAAAUUAAAAGGCUGAAGGGCAACUUCCAUUGAACAUUGCAGUAAAGUAGUUACUGACUGUUGGAGAGGGAAGAAACUGCUGACAGGAAGGCUGGUGGACGUGGUGGUGAACUCAUCAGAGGGUGGGAGGUUCAGGACAGGUACCUGCGCUGUGGCUUCUCAACCAACCUGGUGGGAGGACAGGAAAUGGAGGCAACACAAUGUGCUCAAUGACUUUGUCAAUGACAAGUGAUCAAGUUUCCAGGAUGUAGGAAGUAGAAAAGUGCCUCUUCAAAGUUUCCUUUCUUGUUAAAGAAUAAUCGUAAGUGUUAGAAAUAAUAGUUUGUUCUAAAUACUUUCUUCAAAGCCUUUUUGCUUUUUGUUAAGCCGUAUCCUAUGUAGCUGUUGGACACACUUACAGGCACGUAAUGCAUUCUGUGUUCUUGUACUUUAACCAAGAUACUUGUGCUGGAUGUGCUCACAGGCAUGUCCCAGAUCGCAGCCUCUGCCCCUUCCUUAUUUAGCCCUCCUUUUCGUUCUCCAUUGCUUUUACCUGUUUAGAAAAGUUUGAAGUUGUUAGCCAAUUAGGUUUUAGUUUAGAUUGUGAGGUCUGGCUCCAACCAACAGAGAUCUGACACAGCAGUAAGGACGACCCCAAAUGCGUAAAGGAUAAAUACAUCAGCUUUCCCUCUGUUCACUGCACUCACAUAGCAAGAUGGGUGAGGAAACUCUUUCUGCAAGGAGUAAAGAUUGCCUUGCUGAGAGAUCCUUUGUCCCAAUGAUGACUUUUCCUUGCAGCACUGAAAAUUUACAUGUAACACAGGAUGACAAAGUUUAGAAUAGAUGGCUAAUUUGGAGGAGAAAAGAAAAACAUCACUACAGAUGAGAAGGCAGCAGAAUGGAGAGAUCAGGUGGUCAGCUGUGAUUUUCAGGCGGAUGUGGAAGACACCUAGUGGGUAGCAGGCGUGGUGAUGGUGAGGAAGACUGGCGUGGAUUUCAACAACCCCACUGAGUGCCAUAGUAACACAGAUGGAGUAGGUGACUCCUAAGAGUAGAGCACAGGUGGUAUUGUCAGAUUGCAUGAGAUUUAAAGAAGGAAAUUUUUGUCCAGCUAAUAGAAAGGCUGUGGUCAGAAAGCUCCCUGAAGAGCAAGGAUGACAUCGACCAAGCACGUGGCACUCAGGUCUCGGGGCAAAAAGAGAGCAAAUUGAGAGGAUCCACUUGAGAGGAUCACAGAGGAAGUGGGUUCUCAGGUGCCAUCAGAUUCCAGUUAAGGAAAGCAGGAGGAAUCUGGAGAGAAGACUUCAAGGGAAGGGCUGACCAGAGAGGAGGGAUGGCCAGCAGGCCAGUGCUUGGGACUGGAGAGACAGGCGGUGAAUGUGUGGAAGGAGGUUGUCCCUUGAGUGGUGGCCAGGACAAAAGGGGAGCCCAGCUUGGUGGACUUCGCUCUGCUUGUCUUGCAGGAGAGUGCCAGGCCAGGGACGCUCUUCCUUGGGUUGAUAAAUGAGUCAGAUGGCUGGGACUCCAUCUUCUAUCCCUGAGUAACUAGUUGAUAAAGACACCCUAGUGUAUUUUCCUGAACAGACUGUUGAUGUUAACAAGGUCAGUCUGAUACGGCUGAUUCUUUAUCACUCCAUCAUUGUUUCUUUUGUAGACACACAUCAGCUGUCGUUUUAACCAAUUCUUGCUGAAAAUGGACUAUUACCAUUUCAGAAUGGUAAGACUAUCAAGCCUGUGCUUUUGGGAUGUGCAGAAGGUACUGAAUUCUGGCUUUUCAAACUGGAGCUUCAUUCGGCCGUCUACAGUCUUCUGACAUUUUUGCAGUCUGCAAAGUCAUAGAUUAAAAUACACAACUAAUCAGUAAGGAGACUUGCCUGAGGCCAGGGGACCGGAACCAUAGGGAGAGCAAAGGAGACGUUUCACGUUUAUAGGUUCUGCUUUCUCUUUAUGAUUUUUGCACUGUGUGUUCCCAAAACAGGAAUGCUGGGAAGCCUGGAAUAGGUUUUCUGAGUCCUGGCUCUGCCACGUGCUAGCUCUGUGACCGUGAGAAGCCCAUGAGGACCCCAGAGCUGUCAUUUCUUCAUCUUGUGAGUGGAAGUCCUGUCGAUGCUUACCUUACAGGUUGCUAUGGCUAUUCAGAUGUGAGUUGUACGUGAAACACUGCACAUGUCCAUGUUUACACGAGGCACUAAAUCAUUACUGAUAUUUUAUUGUUCAAGGUAUAAUGUAAGAUGACAUCUAUAUUAACCUUAACAUUUAAACAUGUCUUUUACCUAAAUUGGGGCUGAUGAUUUCUGAUGCUAUAGUUAGAUGCUCUUCCCUUUCACCCUGGGGUUUGCUUUUCACCUUUUCAUGUAUCCUUUUCAAGACCAUCCCUAGGAAUCUGCUGGUAUGAUUAUAUUGGGUUUGUUAGAAAGUAACGUCUCCAUUUUCCUUUUCAUUAGGACUGCAUAAAGUAGCAUCGUCUGAAGUGUGUGCUAAGAACGUCCCUAACCCCUUGUGUGAUAUUUCUCCUUCUGAGCCUUGUGCUUGGUGAUUCCUGCUUUAUAAAACCCAUUUCCCUGAAAGCCUGGCACACGUUGAACUCCACGUCCCCCUCUCCCUUGACGUGAUUGUUUCCUUCAACUCUUCGUCUGCUUCCUCCUGGCAAUACACCUCUCCAAUUUCCUUUCUUAGGGGCUUCCACUCCAGGGUUCAAGGGUUUUCCUGCAACUGCACGCCUUCUUUUAGAGAAGGGGGCAGGUGUGCACACAGCAUAAUUGGUUCCAAUUCUCCAAUAUAUCUGUCCCUUUUGAAUUGAGCUAAAUCAGUCAUUUUUUUAGCCAUAAUGUUCAUCUACCGACAAUACAGGUAAAGUCGUGUUUAUCACCUGUUAUAAUUUUAUCACCUGCAGAAUGCUCAUUCAUAUAUGGAUGCCCAUGGCUACACGUAUUGAUUAAAACUCCCUUCCCAAUUAUGUCACUAUGGGAACAGCUAGACACAUUUCAAAUGUUAAUUACCUUUUGUUACACCUGAGUCACAUUAGCGAUAACCUUCUGCAUGGGAGGGGUACUCGCUUUGUUUGGAUUGGAAUUCUGUCUCGUACACAGGGUUCCAUUAACAUUAGCUGAGACUAUUUCUUAAUUCAAAGAAUAUUCAUAUUCUCUUCAUUAUCAAGCCUAGAACGUGAUUUUUCUCAGGUUGCCACAUUAAUCGGAGAGAGACGCCGGGUAGUUUAUAAUCAAAACUAAGGCAGCUCAACAGCAGGUUACAUCUAAGAGGCUGACACAGGAGAGAUGUCUUUUCUUUCUUAGUCUGUGUCAUUAAAAAGAUCUUUUUUUCUUUUGAAGUCUUCCUCUUGGUUGCUCCACAUUUCUUCACAGAAAGAAUAUGAAGGAAAUGAAGUGAUACAUGGCAUGUGAAAUCAAAGCAGCAGGAUUUUGUUUAGAAGAAUGCACAGCUGCAUUGACUGCAAUUACAGUUCAGAAAAGCUGCAGCUGCCAAUUUCUUUUCUGCAAUUCAAUUCACCUUAUAUGUACCUUUCUACUUUAAGGGAUUUUUUUUCCACUCAAGGAAAAAACAAAAGGAGAAUGGAAGAAAUUAUAGAGCUAUGGAAUGGGACUUACAAAGAAACAGAAUAGUGUGCCUGCUUUUCUCAGGUAGCAUAUUUUAUGGACAAUUUCAAUUCUUCCAGCUGCUGUCUUCAGAAGAGCUUAAAUAUAAUUCUGGAUAUUAUUUCAUUUUACAAGAAGAUAUUGGCUCACCCUUCUCAGAGAGCUGAGGAGCUGGAACUUGACUUUGUAUAACCGAGGUAAGAGUUACAUCUGGAAAAGAACAAUUCUCCCCCUGAAUUAGGACAAGCUCAACUAUAUCCUAAAUCACAGUGAUUUUAAGUACUACUCAUGCUUGUAAGAGAUUUUAAAAUAGAACAGCAAUCUGUGAGGUGUUCACAGCGUACAGUACGUAGCCAAGGUGAUCCAAGGUCAGUGUCUGCUCCUAGAUGCACCUGCAGGGAGUUAGCAGUCGCCACCCACACGCCUGGCCCAACAAGAGCUGACCAGGCAUGGGCAUGCUACUGACGAAAUGCAGCUGGUUUGCUGCAGGGCAUCUGUUUUCUAAAACACAUUUGUCACUGACAGACCUAGCGACUGAGUAGGUGUGAAUAUGAUAUGAAAGUUGCAUUGGCCAUAAGCCAAUUUAUCUGAUGCUCUAACGUUUUAAGUCUCCAUGUAAUAGCAGGUUUGUGCUGUAACAUAAAGAACUGUGGCACAGGUGGGCACAGCAAGACACCGAGAACACACUUGCAUGUCCACUGGCCCCAUGUGUCUUCUGCUGGUCCUGUCUGGCAGUGUGUUUGGCUUUGAAAGUGUCCAGGAUCUGGAUCUUCAUGCAAAAGAAACAAGCACAGGAUGGUGACCUGGCAUCACUGCGUUUUUGCAAAGCCUGCAACUGCCCCAUGUCUGCUCUGGGCUCCGAGGCUCAGUCCUCUGAUCUUUCUUUACCUGUCCUGUCCCUAGCUGCCUUCCUCUUUUUCCUUAUUAAAGUUCUGUACGUACUGCAGCAUAUUCCAUUUAUUGGGAAUUGAAUGUAUUUCUUCUAUGCCAGGAUUCAAAGUUGGGAUUGUUAUUAUUGUAGUUUGUGCUCUGGUUACAGAGUUUCUAAGGUUUGGCUGUUCUGUCCCAGCACCGUAUUUUCUCCAGCCUUGCUGUCUGCAGUGGGCAAUUUUGGACAAUGCAAUUUUCUCAGGCACUUUCUUCUGAGCUCCAGGUCUCCGCAUCCAACAUCCACUCAACAUUUUAUUGUGAGAUCUUCACCUCAAACAUGUCAGAAUUGACAUAUCAACACGUCAAUACCUCCUGCAGGAUUUCCUAACUCCACAGAUGGUAUCCGUCUAAUUGUGCAAGCCAAGAGCAAGGCGCCAGCUGGGAUGUUUCCUGUACCCAAUCUAUCAUCUAUGUCCAGUUAAUUUUACAGUAGUGUUUCUCUACUGUGUCCAUUUCUCUUUGUCUCUGCUGCCACCUUCAUCUCAUACCUGGAUCACUGCAGCAGCCUCCUCCCUGGCCACAGUAGCCUAUGAAACACUAAUCUGAGCAGCUCACCACCUUCUGCACAAACCCUUAGGAAACUAGAAGAAAGCUCCCUCGACCUGGUAAAGGCUAUAUUACAAAACAUCCAGUAAACAACACACUCAAUGGAGAAACCUUGAAACCAGGAGCAAAGAUGCCCAUUGAUAUCACAGCUGCUUAGCGUGGUACUAAAUGUUCUUACAGACAAAAAAGAAGAAGGAAAGAGUCAGAAAACAAAAGGAAUUAGUGUAUAAGAUUUGGAAGGAAGAUAAAAAAGUCCUUAUUGGCGGAUGGGCAGAUGACACAAUCCUAUACAGAGAUACUCCAACCGAAGAGACACUAUUCAAGCUAAUGAGAGUUCAGUGAUGUUGCUAGAUUUAAAGUCAGCUCAUUCUCUUUACCUACCGAAGCAGACUGAAUGUUGUGUCCCCCCAGUUCUUAUGUUGAAAUCUAAUCCCAAGUGUGAUGGUAUUUGGAGGGGGUUCUCGGAGGUGAUUAGGUCAUGAGAGCAAAGCCCUCAUGAAUGGGAUUAUGAAAGAGACCCCAGAGAGACCCCUCACCCCUCCUACAACGUGAGGACUUGGCAAGAAGACACCUUCUAUGAACCAGAGAGCCAGUGUUCACCAGACAUUGGAUCUGAACGCCCCUUGCUCUUGCAUUUGCAGGCUCCUGAACUGUGAAAACACAUGUCUGUUGUUUAGAAGCCACUCUGCUUAUGGCUUUCAUUACAGCAUCCCAAAUGGACUAACACACCUGCAAUAACCAAUUCCAAUUUUCAUAAAACUGACAUGGUGAAAUUUUGUCAAAUACCUCUCUGUACGAAUUGGGGGACUACAUGGCUCACGUUAUCAACAAGAGAAAAUAGGCAGCCCAAACCCAAGAAACAGUCAAGUAAUAGAAACAGUUCAGAGCGAGAGAAAAUUAAAUGACUGGCAAGUAUGUGAAGAGUUCCUCAACUCAGUAAAUGUAACGAGAAGAAAUAGAAUGAGGAGAUGCCACUUCCAACCAUCAUAUUUAUAAAAUGUAAAAGGCACCAUAGAACCAAGAGUUGAUGAGCGUGGGAAGAUACGGGGCCUCCUACCGUGACUGCAUGGAGAACACUCGUCAUGAAGGUGAAGGAUGAGUAUCAUCGGUGGUCUUUCCAUCCCAUACUGCACAGCGUGGAGACCCCAGACCCCCACCCCCGACGACUGGAUGAGCACCCAGGUAAGGGGACAGCUACUUAGGCCGGCUUUAUGCACAGUACCCAGGGGGAAGUACAGCCCCAUGCCUACUGUUUGUGCAAUUGAAAUAUCACCCGGUUACUGAGUGUCUUAAAGGAUACAUUCACAUCUAAGAACACAGAGGGUGGGAGCAGGAGGAAAAGUCAAACAGCGUUAAACCGGAAGAGUCUGGUUUUGAGCAGUCGCGCUGGGGUUCCUUGAAUACUAGUAACAAAACUCUGCACAGGAAGCUUUUGAAAAAGGUUAAAAGAGUAAAGGGUGAUCUUCAGAUUUAUUGGUGGAAGAGUGACAGCCACUGAAAUGGGAAAGUUCAAUUUCGGAGUGAAUAUUACUCAGAACAGACCAAAGUCCAACAUCCCUAUAACUGGUGCUCAGGAAGAAGAAAGCUUGAGAGUCAAGGCUGAUCAGAGAAGAGAGUGCACUUGGAUUUGACACAGAAAAAGCCCAACUCUCAAAACGCUGAGCCACACCAAAGAGACUGCUUUACCUGGAUGUUGGGAAGAUUUAGGAUGUUAAAAAUAAGUUCAGUAUAAAUAAAAACUCUUUCUCCCCUGCAGCUUGCAUUCCUCCUGCCUUGGGAGGCUGGCAAAAGCUAAGACUGUAGAAGACAUUCUGAGGCCCUGAGGAGGUACGUACGUGCCUGCUGAGCGUUCCUGUCACCAGUCAGUGCACUCUGCUAAACAAGCCUUCACCAGCAGGUCUUUUCUUUCUUUCUUUUUUUUUUUUUGAGAUGGAGUUUCACUCUUGUUACCCAGGCUGGGGUGCAAUGGCACAAUCUCGGCUCACCGCAACCUCCGCCUCCUGGGUUCAGGCAAUUCUCCUGCCUCAGCCUCCCGAGUAGCUGGGAUUACAGGCAUGCGCCACCAUGCCCAGCUAAUUUUUUGUAUUUUUAGUAGAGACGGGGUUUCACCAUGUUGACCAGGAUGGUCUCGAUCUCUUGACCUCGUGAUCCACCUGCCUUGGGCUCCCAAAGCGCUGGGAUUACAGGCGUGAGCCACCGCGCCCGGCCCACCAGCAGGCCUUUCUUUACUAGCACUAUUUACGGUUACAGUAAGUCACUUCCUCCGAAGUUUUAUCACAAUGGCUUCCUUCUCAUACAACUGAACUUGCUCGCUUUCAAGUGUAAUUAUGUUUUUGAAAUACAUACUUCCGAAGUGAAGUCUCUGCCAUUAAUUUUCAUGGGCAAUACAUGAUAAAGUACAUGCAUGGUACCACAAAUUGCAAUUUAUUAAGUUCUGUGGAGUAAGUGGAGCCAGUCACAUAGACAGCUGGAGAAAUGAGAAACAGAGCUGACAUGGAGUGACAUUCAAAGUAGAGAAACAAGGAAGAGGCGUGAGCCAGAGGCGGUGAGCCUGCAGUGGGGUUCCAUACACAUUCCCCCCAGCCAGGUACCAUCGACUUGUUUCAGCAUGCCCCUUAUCUGGGCUAUGCCCCAAAGUUCAUCUCACCCCUGCUUCCCUCACCAGUUGUCCUAAAGAUGUAACAAGAUUACGAAUGUUGGUGCUCAUUAAGCUGGACACAUGUGGCAAAUCAUUACUUUUAUUAACAGAGGAAUAAGAACAGUCCCAGAAGACAGAAAUAAAGACACAACAUAUCCUUAAAAAUAAACAUAGGGGCUGGGUGAGGUGGCCCACACCUGCCAUCCCCACACUUGGGGCAGCCGGGGCAGGAGGACUGCUGAUGCUCAGACACUGGAGGCCAACCUGUGCCACAUAGUGAGACCACAUAAAAAAAUAAACAUGACCGAAAAGAAAAACUAUCUGAUGGCUUCAUUUUAUCAGAACCUCAAAUCACAGUUAUUCUUCACAUCAUCUUUUUUCUUCAUGAAAGUCGGAAUCUCAAAGGAAAUUGGUCAAGAUCCUGAUGUGCAGGUGGGUUAAGAGGAUCAGUAAAUGUGAAAUAACAAAAUACAAAGAAGAAAAGGACAACACUGAGUCCCGGCACAUUUCUCAGUUGCUCCUAUUUCUUCUUUCUGGCCCAGACAUCUCCUGGGUUUACAGGUGCAUAAAGGUCCCUUCUCGUCACCAGGACAGCUUAACUACCAUCAACAAGUAUUUUUCAAAUAAACACUUCAGUUUCUGCGUCUGAAGUGUUUGUUUGACUCCUCGCAACUGAGAACAGAUUAGGGGUUGACAAGGUCCUAUUGUGGGCAGAACAACUGUGACUUUCUAGAUGGAAGAACGUCUUUAAAACUUUUAAUUGAAAGUUUUAAAAAUGCAGAAAAAAAGAGGGUUUCAGUUUUCACGUAUGCCAUAUUCUAGUAUCGAACCGGAAUCUUCACUCCAAAAUACUGUUCAAAAUCCUGAUGGAGUAAGAAUUAAGUUCAUGCAGCUUAAGUUGAAUCCUGUGUACUUCUCCAAUGAUCACACGAUGUCUUUUUUCCCUGUCCUUACCAAUCUCAAGGUUUACCAUUGUAAAUAUAUGUGUAUGUCAAUUAGGAAAGAUACAGUGAAAUCCCUUAACAUCUGAAAGGUUCCAUUCAAUUUUGCUCUUCCUGUUAAAACUUAUUUAAAAUCUGAAGUAUUCAAAGUAACACUGGAGUCGUAAACUCUACGGCCUGCGGUGGCACUUAACCCGUCACAUCUGACAGAGCAUCCUCAGACACUGCUCUCAGCACCCAAGUCCUCCUAGCACAACGGGCUUUGUUCUGUACUCUUCAGUAUAUUUUUUGUAAAAUAAUAUGUACAUAUGCAUGCAUAAGUGUGUGUGUGUGUGUAUGUGUGUGAGUGUGUGUGUGUGGUUUGUGGGUGUGUAUGGUAUGUGUCAUAUGAGUGUAUGUGUGUGGUGUGUGUGUGUGUUUGUAUGGUGUGUCUGUGUCAUCAAAUACUGUAUCUUUUGAUUACAUCCUGGAGGUGCAUGUGUUAUGCAUCCUUCUUCUCUUCUAGGAAUAUGGAGUAGGCAUGUAUUUCCCUAUUCCUCCCACUAAGUACAACUGAAAACCCUGGACACUUCACAGAGGAUGACUGUGACAGACAGAGAGAAGGAGGCAGGAUGGCUAAGGACCUCAGGACUUGAGGAACGACAUGGUGGAGAAUUUUCUGGGUUUUCCUCUUCCUCAUGCGUACUAGACCUGGAACCGAAGAAAUCAGCAACCCAGAAAUUCCAGCAGGCACAGACAAAAUAAGUCCCAACAAAAGCCUGCUUUCUCUAGCCACAGGACCAGGGAAGGGACAGAAAACUCUUAGACGAUAACUGCUCUACUUCGGCCAAACAAUGCAGAAAAACCUCGGCCCCACCUUCGCCCAUGCCAGUAAAGGCUGUGUGGGUGGCCUAGAAUUCCACCCUCAUUAGUCUGUAAGGAGGUGCCCCAACUUCCCCACAGGGGUGCUGUCCACUUCCAAGUGGACAGUGCGGACUCUGACCACUGCCCAGGGUAACUGGCCAUAGUUCUGCUUGGGAUUAGUGGAGGCCACACGGCGAGUGGGAGCCUCCACCCCCAGCAAGCAGGAAGAGCCUCACAACUUUCUUCAUUGCAGUAAUAGGGGGCCCCCCACUUCCUAGGUUGGAGUCAUGUGAGUCCCAGUCUGUUAAAACAGAAAGCUUACGUAAGGUCCAGAGUCUCAUAACAUAGUGCCCCAAAAGUCUAACUUUCAAUUAAAAAAAAAUCACUAGUUGCUCAAAGAACCCGGAAGAUCUCAAACAGAAAAGAAAAAAUAAACCAAACCAAGAUGACAGAAAUGUUAGAUUUAUCUGACAAAGAUUUCAAAGCAGCCAUGAUAAAAAUGCUUCAACAAGCAACCACAGACCAGCCUGAAACCAAUGAAGAAACAGAGCCUCUGCUGAAAAAUGGGACAUAUACAGAAGAACCAAAUGGAAGUUUUAAAAGUGAAAAACACAAAACCAAAAUGAAAAGUUCACAGGCAGGCCUUAAUAGCUGAGUAGAGGAAACAGGAAGGCAAGCAUGAAAUGCAGGAUGCAACAACAGACACGCUCACCUCAAAACCCAGAGGAAGAAGAGCCACAUAAACCCAAAGCAAGUGGAAGAAAGGACAUAAAUAAAUAAAAGGAAAUGGAGAGGGAGGGAGAGAGAGAGAGAGAGAGAGAGAGAGGGAGCAGAAAUCCAUAAAACUGAAAACAGAAACAAUGGAAAACACCCAUGAAACAGUGAGCUGAUUUAAAAAGAUAAGACUAAUAAAAUUGACAAAUCUCUGGCAAGACUGACUGAAAGAGAGAGAGAAGGGAGACACAAGUUCAUAAAUUACCAGUAUCAGGAAUGAAACAGAGAAUCACUACAGAUCCCACAGACUUUGCAAGGAUAAUAAGGGCGCUAUGAAUGCCUCUACACACAGAUUCAACAGAUCGGAUGAAAUGGACAUAGGGAUGCAUACCCUGCAGGUGGAGCCUGCCCAGGAGUAGCUGGACCUGGGUAAGAGGUACACACAGCUUUCAGAAAGAGGCUCAGGGUCACUGGGGGAGGAAAUUCUGGCAUCCCAGGUGUCUGGAGAAUGUUCUUGGAGGGAUGGGUGCAAACUGUGGACAGGCACAUCACCUGAUUUUCACAGACUCUCAUCCUGUGGUGAGGGCAAGGCCAGGGAAGGCAGAAGGAGCUCUUAAAUGCUCAGGGUCAGGGUAGGACCCCUCUGGUCCAGCUCUAAACACUGUGCUGAGUACAGAUGGUGUUUUUCUUGCCAUUGCCAAUGAGGUAACACUCACCAAUACAGAGGAUGACUAAAGAUCUGGAGCCAAGAGUCAACAGCCUUCAGGAAGGCUUAGCAGGCUUUGCAGCUAUUCCUUUCACUAUCUAACAAGUAUUUGUGAGGGUUCUUGCUAUAUAACUCAGCAUCUGAGCCAUGCAUGCAGUGUGGGGUUAGAAAGAGACACACGGACGGGCUGUGGCAGCCCAGGGAGAGUGACAUGCACGUGCAGAAUGGGUGUCCCACUGAGACCCACAGGUGGGCUGUGUCCCUCAAUGUCUGGAACACACCCUGAGCUCACAGAGUUCUGCCUUCCCAGUGCCCGUUCUAGAUGCUGCCACACAGCACCCGAGAAGCUGCUGAAAUGCAGGAUCUACCGGAGCUUCCGCUUCCUUAGCGCUACCUGCUCAACACUGCCCGUGCCUCGCGCCUCGCUCCUCUCUGCCUUGAACGGGAGCAUGGGGAGAGCACUCCACGAGAAAACUCUGGGUUCCUGACAGCUUCGCUAGAAAUGAAGCCAAAAAGUGCAGGCGCAGAGCGGAGGAAGCCCAGCUCUAAGGGUGACUCACGGCCACUCGGAUCGCUGUGUAUCAGAAGACAGACGCCAGAUCCACAGCUGGGCUUUCACACCUGAGGAGGUGGGAGGGGGUUUGUUUUAAUAAAGUCGCGCUUGAUUAAAUAAAAUGAGUGAAAAGUAAAUUAAGGAAUUUAAAGAAUUGUG
Non-coding RNA from Callithrix jacchus (white-tufted-ear marmoset), 17000 nucleotides. NCBI's taxonomy places the organism in Eukaryota, Metazoa, Chordata, Mammalia, Primates, Cebidae. The record is from RefSeq and is a predicted model, not a curated record.